CUUUUAAGGAGGAGCAGACCACCUGCUCUACAAAGAUGGGGACAUGACUGUCAUUUGUUUGGUGAGCAGAUGUGCCAGCUACCCAGAGGGGACAGUCAUGGUACUUGGUGAGAUUCUGCCAGAUGAUGAAACUGAGGUUUGGCCUGGCCAUCAUAACCAUGGAUAGAGGACCUGGGUUAUGUCAGGACCCUCUGUUGCUGCAACCAACAGUCAAGUGUCUUAUUGGAUUAUUGAGGCUUGAAGGCAUAACUUUUGACAAGCAUUACACUGACCUUGGCCUUGUAUCCAAGAGAGUUUUGGAGUCAGGCUAG
RNAcentral lists this long non-coding RNA (311 nucleotides) under Monodelphis domestica (gray short-tailed opossum). RNAcentral's name for it is "lncRNA (ENSMODG00000040479.1)". Lineage: Eukaryota; Metazoa; Chordata; Mammalia; Didelphimorphia; Didelphidae. The record is from RNAcentral.